UGGGGUGUGGCUCAGUGGUAGAGCACUUGCCUAGCACGUAGGAGGCCACAGUCUCAAGCCCAGCACCGCAA
RNAcentral lists this transfer RNA (71 nucleotides) under Ictidomys tridecemlineatus (thirteen-lined ground squirrel). RNAcentral describes it as "Spermophilus tridecemlineatus (thirteen-lined ground squirrel) tRNA". It matches the Rfam family "tRNA". Rfam says of the family: Transfer RNA (tRNA) molecules are approximately 80 nucleotides in length. Their secondary structure includes four short double-helical elements and three loops (D, anti-codon, and T loops). Lineage: Eukaryota; Metazoa; Chordata; Mammalia; Rodentia; Sciuridae. The record is from Rfam by way of RNAcentral.